UAUCCCGGAAACAAAACUCAACUUCAUUUUCUCCAGCCUAAACCUAGUAACCUCCACUUCACCCAAACAACAUAGCCUCCAUUGCAACACUCCAUCAUCUUCUCUUUCCUUCAAUCUCAACAACAUCCACCUUUAUUGUCACCUUCCAUAACCACAUAAACCACCAUAGUUAUGCAUUUGCCCGUCAUCCUUAACCUCAAUUCUCCAUCAAAAUCAAAAUCAAAUCAAACCAAACCCAACUGCAACCCAAAACACCAAUACCAUUUUCCUUAUAAUCCCAGUCGGUUUUUCCUCCAUUCAAAAACUCACUCAAGACUAUAGGUCACCCCUUUCAAGACUCACCAACCUCAUCCCACCAUCGCUCACUGUCUUUUUUAUAAAAUAAAACCUUAGCCACCACAGUACUAUCCUAACCAGUCCUAUAGAUCCAUAUUUUCCACCUUUCACAGCAUCCCUGUACCACACUACCCAAUCAUCCUUCUCACCAACAGACCCUAACAACCAUAGUUUUUCCUUCUUUUCCUAGUAAAAAUAACCAACAACACCCAAAAAUCCAUUAACCAAAAACAAGACCAUAGUAGACCAAAACCCAUUCAACCCACCCUUAUCAACAAACAAUCACCACCACAGGUUUCUCUUCACUGAUCUCAACCUUAUAAUCAUGAAAUCAUAACCACCUAUCUCCUACAAUCUCUUCAGUUUAAGCCAUUGUCCAGCCCAUAAAUAGUCUUGAUCUUGACACAAAAACAUAGCCACGACCCACCAUAAUCCCAACCCUCUUCCUCACUAAAAUCAACUUCAAUUAGAAGUUUAGUUCACCCAAACACUAGCCAUCAAAAAAGAAAUCAAAGCAACUAAAUUUCUGUUUUGUUUCUCACAUGUUUAUAGGUUAAUUUAGUUGGCAUGUGAUGAGCACACACGUCUCAUUCCAGCAAGUCCAAUUGAUCAGCAGGCUCUAUAAGAUUUUCUAGCAUCCUUUGAAGGUUUUUUACCCGCAAGGAGAGGCCAUAAGACCCAAUCAGCAGUAGGGGACUAUUUCACAUGCAUAAAUGUUAGACACUUUUGGAUGAAAGAUGCAAAAGGGAGUAAAUUGAAGGUAAUUGGCAGAUUUGACCUCCAGUCGAUGUUUUGUGCAGAGCGUGAGCUCUAGAGAUCGAAAUGAAGUGAUUCUAGUGGUAUUAAAAAGCUAACAUCCAUACCUUUCUGUAAAUCUAAGGCAAGAAAAUAAAAUAAGGAAGAGCAUGGAAAUCGCAGCCUUCAAAGUCAAAUCUUGUAAUCUGCCAAUGUUGACCUUCGACCAUUCUGACUUGAAUAUCUGGAGCUACAGAAAUCCAAUUGAUGAAAACUCAAUUGUUUUGGAUUCCUGACUCAAAGGUCUAUCAACGCUCACAAUUUCAGCCACAAAUGACAUCAUAUGAGGGAGAUAUGAGUUUUCAAAGAUGACAACUAAAUUCUGCCAGCAAACAAGUUUCGUGAAGAAACGAGUCCAAAUUAUGUUCUGAAGCAUCUAAACUGAUAUCCAAGUUUUUAUUUCAGCAAUUUAGCUCCUCUAAGUCAAAUCUUGAAGAUUUCAUGCAAGGCUAUUUCUUCUUUUUUAGAAAAAUAGUUAUUGAAGUACUUAAAUGUAAAUUGUCUACUUAAAGGAGGACUAUUUUGUAAAAUAGAGACUAAGGUUUCCUAGGAUAUAAAAAGAAUGAGAGAAGAGAAGGGGGGCAGCCAGCCAAGAAGAGAAAAACGCCCCCUUCUCCUCCACAAACCCGAAAUCAUGCAUUCCUCCUUUUUGAUUAGCUGUUCAAUAAACAUGUAAGGCUAAACUCUUUUUCUUGGUUGCAAGGACACGGAAACCUUCGGAUUUCAAGAACUAUAAGAUCUAUUUUACCUUUUCUUUUCAAUUUAUAUAAUGAAUAUGUUUAUUCUCC
Molecule: long non-coding RNA, 1919 nt
Organism: Populus trichocarpa (black cottonwood)
Lineage: Eukaryota; Viridiplantae; Streptophyta; Magnoliopsida; Malpighiales; Salicaceae
Exons: 3
Source: RefSeq, a predicted model, not a curated record